GCGAAUAAUCUUGAUUCAACAAAUAAAUAUUCCGAGUAAAUAAACUAUUGCUAAUAAUUACAGUACCGUAUGAACAAGCUGUAAUUGGGAAUGUAUUUAUACUAGGAACACUAACUGUAGUAAUAAGAUAAAACAACUCUCAUCUGAGAAAAGAAAUAAGAUUUAAGAAAUCUCACAGAAACAAGAUUUAGGAAAUCUCACAGAAAUAAGAUUUUGAUCCCGGAUCAGCUGCAGACAAGCCACCAUUCCACAAGCGGCGCCGUCGUACCAAUCACCUCGCCGUUGCUUGCGUGCUCGAUUUAUCGCCCUAACACCAAGGCGACAUAACAUCACCGGGAGCGGAGGAUGAAAUGGCGCCGCCACCAAGAUCCACACACGGCUAGCUGCAUCCUAGAUCUGCGUCGGCGCUAGUGACGCUCCUACUUGUUCGCUCGAGAUUGUCCAACGGCA
Molecule: long non-coding RNA, 450 nt
Filed under: Sorghum bicolor (sorghum)
Lineage: Eukaryota; Viridiplantae; Streptophyta; Magnoliopsida; Poales; Poaceae
Description: long non-coding RNA (SBIC_LNC017188)
Source: RNAcentral